RNAcentral lists this ribosomal RNA (253 nucleotides) under uncultured bacterium. Its description in RNAcentral is "partial 16S ribosomal RNA". It matches the Rfam family "Bacterial small subunit ribosomal RNA", at positions 524 to 776 of the family's 1533-position model. The record is from RNAcentral.
UACGUAGGGGGCAAGCGUUGUCCGGAAUCAUUGGGCGUAAAGAGCGUGUAGGCGGUCCGGUAAGUCGGCUGUGAAAGUCCAGGGCUCAACCCUGGGAUGCCGGUCGAUACUGCCGGACUAGAGUCCGGAAGAGGCAAGUGGAAUUCCCGGUGUAGCGGUGAAAUGCGCAGAUAUCAGGAGGAACACCGGUGGCGAAGGCGGAUCUCUGGGCCUUACCUGACGCUGAGGCGCGAAAGCUAGGGGAGCGAACAGG